RNAcentral lists this ribosomal RNA (311 nucleotides) under uncultured archaeon. RNAcentral's name for it is "bacterial SSU rRNA". It matches the Rfam family "Archaeal small subunit ribosomal RNA", at positions 992 to 1304 of the family's 1478-position model. The record is from RNAcentral.
GCACCGCCGUCGUCAGUUCGUACCGUAAGGCUUUCUCUUAAGUGAGAUAACGAACGAGACCCUCAUCUAUAAUUGCUACUUCAUUCUCCGGAAUGGAGGCACAUUAUCGAGACCGCUGGCGCUAAGUCAGAGGAAGGAGAGGUCAACGGUAGGUCAGUAUGCCCCGAAUCUCUUGGGCUACACGCGCGCUACAAAGGGCGGGACAAUGGGCUACGACGCCGAAAGGCGAAGUCAAUCUCGAAACCCGUCCGUAGUUCGGAUUGAGGCUAGUAACUCAGCCUCAUGAAGCUGGAUUCCGUAGUAAUCGCGAA